This 468-nucleotide ribosomal RNA is filed under the name uncultured bacterium. Its description in RNAcentral is "partial 16S ribosomal RNA". It matches the Rfam family "Bacterial small subunit ribosomal RNA", at positions 28 to 507 of the family's 1533-position model. The record is from RNAcentral.
GACGAACGCUGGCGGCGUGCUUAACACAUGCAAGUCGAACGGAAAGGCCCUGCUUUUGUGGGGUGCUCGAGUGGCGAACGGGUGAGUAACACGUGAGUAACCUGCCCUUGACUUUGGGAUAACUUCAGGAAACUGGGGCUAAUACCGGAUAGGAGCUCCUGCUGCAUGGUGGGGGUUGGAAAGUUUCGGCGGUUGGGGAUGGACUCGCGGCUUAUCAGCUUGUUGGUGGGGUAGUGGCUUACCAAGGCUUUGACGGGUAGCCGGCCUGAGAGGGUGACCGGCCACAUUGGGACUGAGAUACGGCGCAGACUCCUACGGGAGGCAGCAGGGGGGAAUAUUGCACAAUGGGCGGAAGCCUGAUGCAGCAACGCCGCGUGCGGGAUGACGGCCUUCGGGGUGUAAACCGCUUUCGCCUGUGACGAAGCGGGAGUGACGGUAAUGGGUAAAGAAGCACCGGCUAACUACGUG